AACGAACGCUGGCGGCAGGCCUAACACAUGCAAGUCGAGCGAGGUAGCAAUACCUAGCGGCGGACGGGUGAGUAACGCGUGGGAACGUACCCUUUGCUACGGAAUAGCCCCGGGAAACUGGGAGUAAUACCGUAUGUGCCCUUCGGGGGAAAGAUUUAUCGGCAAAGGAUCGGCCCGCGUUGGAUUAGGUAGUUGGUGGGGUAAUGGCCUACCAAGCCGACGAUCCAUAGCUGGUUUGAGAGGAUGAUCAGCCACACUGGGACUGAGACACGGCCCAGACUCCUACGGGAGGCAGCAGUGGGGAAUCUUAGACAAUGGGCGCAAGCCUGAUCUAGCCAUGCCGCGUGAGUGAUGAAGGCCUUAGGGUUGUAAAGCUCUUUCAGAUGGGAAGAUAAUGACGGUACCAUCAGAAGAAGCCCGGCUAACUCCGUGCCAGCAGCCGCGGUAAAGUCG
This 453-nucleotide ribosomal RNA is filed under the name uncultured bacterium. Its description in RNAcentral is "bacterial SSU rRNA". It matches the Rfam family "Bacterial small subunit ribosomal RNA", at positions 29 to 527 of the family's 1533-position model. The record is from RNAcentral.